RNAcentral lists this transfer RNA (77 nucleotides) under Anaerolinea sp. RNAcentral's name for it is "tRNA-Arg". It matches the Rfam family "tRNA". From Rfam's summary of the family: Transfer RNA (tRNA) molecules are approximately 80 nucleotides in length. Their secondary structure includes four short double-helical elements and three loops (D, anti-codon, and T loops). The record is from RNAcentral. Lineage: Bacteria; Bacillati; Chloroflexota; Anaerolineae; Anaerolineales; Anaerolineaceae.
GCCCCAGUAGCUCAAUAGGACAGAGCACCGGACUUCUAAUCCGAUGGUUGCGAGUUCGAGUCUCGCCUGGGGCGCUA